Molecule: ribosomal RNA, 301 nt
Filed under: uncultured bacterium
Lineage: Bacteria
Description: partial 16S ribosomal RNA
Rfam family: Bacterial small subunit ribosomal RNA
Source: RNAcentral
CAGCCGCCACGGGAAUACGAAGGGGGCUAGCGUUGCUCGGAAUGACUGGGUGUAAAGGGCGCGUAGGCGGCGAUCAAAGUCAGGCGUGAAAUUCCUGGGCUCAACCUGGGGGCUGCGCUUGAUACUUGGUUGCUUGAGUGGGGAAGAGGGUCGUGGAAUUCCCAGUGUAGAGGUGAAAUUCGUAGAUAUUGGGAAGAACACCGGUGGCGAAGGCGGCCAUCUGGGACAACACUGACGCUGAGGCACGAAAGCGUGGGGAGCAAACAGGAUUAGAUACCCCGGUAGUCCCUGUCUCUUAUAC